CGGCAACAGCUCAAAUUUGAAAUCUGGCGCAAGCCCGAGUUGUAAUUUGCAGAGGGUGCUUUUGGCGCGGUGCCUUCUGAGUUCCCUGGAACGGGACGCCGGAGAGGGUGAGAGCCCCGUACAGUUGGACACCAAGCCUUUGUAAAGCUCCUUCGAC
RNAcentral lists this ribosomal RNA (157 nucleotides) under Myrmecridium schulzeri. RNAcentral's name for it is "partial large subunit ribosomal RNA". It matches the Rfam family "Eukaryotic large subunit ribosomal RNA", at positions 99 to 261 of the family's 3401-position model. Lineage: Eukaryota; Fungi; Ascomycota; Sordariomycetes; Myrmecridiales; Myrmecridiaceae. The record is from RNAcentral.